This 1295-nucleotide ribosomal RNA is filed under the name Paraoligorchis sp. VH-2010. RNAcentral's name for it is "partial 28S ribosomal RNA". It matches the Rfam family "Eukaryotic large subunit ribosomal RNA", at positions 128 to 792 of the family's 3401-position model. The record is from RNAcentral. Lineage: Eukaryota; Metazoa; Platyhelminthes; Cestoda; Cyclophyllidea; Hymenolepididae.
UUUUGUUGUUAGGCAAUGUGGUGUGUGGGUCGGCUGGCGGGACUAUCACUCCACUCGAAGUCCAGCAUUGAGUAUGGCAAUCAUUGGAUUUGGCCCAUAGAGGGUGAGAGGCCCGUACCGAGUGGAGGUUCAGACAUGUACGAUAGUUCACCAGGCCGGCCUUAGAGUCGGGUUGUUUGAGAUUGCAGCCCAAAGUGGGUGGUAAACUCCAUCCAAGGCUAAAUACUGCCACGAGUCCGAUAGCGAACAAGUACCAUGAGGGAAAGUUGAAAAGUACUCUGAAGAGAGAGUAAACAGCACGUGAAGCCGCAUACAGGUAAACGGGUGGCGUCAAGCUGCAAGCCCGGAGGAUUCAGCUGACUAGGAUGUAGUGUACGCGCGCCUGGUGCGUCGAGAGGCCAGAAUAAGAUGUUGGUGGUCCACUCCUUUAUUGAGAGUGGGGUGCAAUCGGUGUGCGCGCUUGCGUGUGCACUAAUUGUUACUAUACGUGCCGGUUUGGUGCCGGAGUAUGCCGCUCGUCUGUUGGGCCGUCUAGUCAGUGCAUUUUCUCCGUGGUGAACACCACGACCGGUGGAAUUGCCAGUCUGCUGUGAUCAAAUCGUGGUCUUCUGGCGCACGUAAUUGCGUUGGGUGGGCACGAUCGCAGGUGGAGUCGGUGGACGGCGCAGUGGUACUUUAGUGCUGCCGCGUGUUAUCGUGCACUCUCUAUCGUAAACGGUUAGUGAUUGGGUUGACUGAGUGCUGUAACUACUUCCCUCCUAACCGGCGGAUUACAGUGGUGAAAAGGACUGUGCAGGGCACCGGAGUUGUCCACCUCAUUCAAUAUGGUACCCGACACGCGCGUUACAGGUGCUAUAAUACAAUUGGGAUACGCCGCUGUCUGCCUGGUGUUAGGCCUGGCUGUCGUGUUGCCUGCACAAUCAUUGUGGGUCCGGCGGUCAAUGGUUUUAAUACUUGGUUGUCGCAGUGUUGUUGCGUAUCUCAGGUGUCUGUGGUACCGGAGGUGUUAUAGUCAGUGGUGCUGUGGUAGACGAGCUACCCGACCCGUCUUGAAACACGGACCAAGGAGUUUAACAUGUGUGCAAGUCAAAGGGUCCUACGAAACCCCUAGGCGCAGUGAAAGUAAAAUUUAUGCUGUACUUCUGCACAUGCGCAGUGCAGUGUAAUGAGGUGAGAUCUCGUUGUACUCAUGACACACGCCGCAGACCUUACUGGGCAUUGAUUAGGGGCAACGAGCGCAUCACCGGCCCGUCCCAUGAUGUGGUCAUAGGUACACUUGUGUGCAGAGUGGUAAC